RNAcentral lists this ribosomal RNA (236 nucleotides) under uncultured bacterium. RNAcentral's name for it is "partial 16S ribosomal RNA". It matches the Rfam family "Bacterial small subunit ribosomal RNA", at positions 57 to 305 of the family's 1533-position model. The record is from RNAcentral.
GCAAGUCGAACGAACAAGGCUGGAGCUUGCUUCAGCCGCGUGAGUGGCAAACGGGUGAGUAACACGUGGGAAUCUACCCAUCAGUACGGAAUAACAUUUGGAAACAAAUGCUAAUACCGUAUACUCUCUACGGAGGAAAGAUUUAUCGCUGAUGGAUGAGCCCGCGCAAGAUUAGGUAGUUGGUGGGGUAAUGGCCUACCAAGCCGACGAUCUUUAGCAGGUCUGAGAGGAUGAUC